CCUACGGGAGGCAGCAGUGGGGAAUAUUGGACAAUGGGCGCAAGCCUGAUCCAGCCAUACCGCGUGUGUGAAGAAGGCUUUCGGGUUGUAAAGCACUUUAAGUAAGGAGGAAAAGAUUGUAGUUAAUACCUGCAGUCCGUGACGUUACUUACAGAAUAAGGACCGGCUAAUUCCGUGCCAGCAGCCGCGGUAAUACGGAAGGUCCAAGCGUUAAUCGGAAUUACUGGGCGUAAAGCGCGCGUAGGUGGUUUUUUAAGUUGGAUGUGAAAGCCCUGGGCUCAACCUAGGAACUGCAUCCAAAACUAGAUGACUAGAGUACGAAAGAGGGAAGUAGAAUUCACAGUGUAGCGGUGGAAUGCGUAGAUAUUGUGAAGAAUACCAAUGGCGAAGGCAGCUUCCUGGUUCUGUACUGACACUGAGGUGCGAAAGCGUGGGUAGCGAACAGGAUUAGAUACCCUGGUAGUCCACGCCGUAAACGAUGACAACUAGCUGUUGGGAGAC
RNAcentral lists this ribosomal RNA (501 nucleotides) under uncultured bacterium. Its description in RNAcentral is "bacterial SSU rRNA". It matches the Rfam family "Bacterial small subunit ribosomal RNA", at positions 338 to 831 of the family's 1533-position model. The record is from RNAcentral.